AACGCGAAGAACCUUACCUGGCCUUGACAUCCAGAGAACUUAGCAGAGAUGCUUUGGUGCCUUCGGGAACUCUGAGACAGGUGCUGCAUGGCUGUCGUCAGCUCGUGUUGUGAAAUGUUGGGUUAAGUCCCGCAACGAGCGCAACCCUUAUCCUUUGUUGCCAGCGGUUCGGCCGGGAACUCAAAGGAGACUGCCGGUGAUAAACCGGAGGAAGGUGGGGAUGACGUCAAGUCAUCAUGGCCCUUACGGCCAGGGCUACACACGUGCUACAAUGGCGCAUACAAAGAGAAGCGACCUCGCGAGAGCAAGCGGACCUCAUAAAGUGCGUCGUAGUCCGGAUUGGAGUCUGCAACUCGACUCCAUGAAGUCGGAAUCGCUAGUAAUCGUAGAUCAGAAUGCUACGGUGAAUA
Molecule: ribosomal RNA, 410 nt
Filed under: uncultured Erwinia sp.
Lineage: Bacteria; Pseudomonadati; Pseudomonadota; Gammaproteobacteria; Enterobacterales; Erwiniaceae
Description: bacterial SSU rRNA
Rfam family: Bacterial small subunit ribosomal RNA
Source: RNAcentral